UGAAUAUACUUCCAAGAAGCUAAACAACUUUCUCAAUCAUAUGACAGGCUUAUGACACAGCCACAUGAAUAACCAUCUGAGCUGAUUAGUAUCUGAGGCAGAGUAUAUUUGGAUCUAUAACUUAUUUAUUGAUGCAUCCAACCAAGGCUUUUUUUCAAUUGUCUGCGUUAUUAGCUUUGUUUUGUGCAUGUUGUAGAUUAUCCUUGAUGG
RNAcentral lists this long non-coding RNA (210 nucleotides) under Elaeis guineensis (African oil palm). RNAcentral describes it as "long non-coding RNA (EGUI_LNC035120)". The record is from RNAcentral. Lineage: Eukaryota; Viridiplantae; Streptophyta; Magnoliopsida; Arecales; Arecaceae.